Molecule: long non-coding RNA, 672 nt
Filed under: Neogale vison (American mink)
Lineage: Eukaryota; Metazoa; Chordata; Mammalia; Carnivora; Mustelidae
Description: Neovison vison (American mink) lncRNA (ENSNVIG00000021130.1)
Source: RNAcentral
ACAUUUCUUUUUCCAUUAUUCAGGCUCCCUGAGGAGCUACCUCCCUUCUGGCUGCAUUGUUGUAAGCCUCCUUCAUGGCUUUUUUGGCAAACCUGGUCAGUUGGUAACAACAUCCAACUGCUUUCUUCAUAAGAAGACUAGAAAAGUAUAAUGAAAACUAUAUGGAGAAGGAUAAACUUAAAGAAAUGCAAAAUACUACUGUGAAAGUCUGGCUUCUUCAAAACCGGGAUGUGGUCUCUUGGGUCUGUCUUGGUGCUAUUCUGAAACUUGUACUUUGUGGUGCCCCCAGUACAUGGACAGUUUUUCCAGAUAUUUGGCUUUACCAGUAAACAAAUUCUGAUACCAAGGAUCUCAUGUCUAAUAGAAUUCAAGUUUUUCAGAUGCUUCAAAACCAUUAAGUAGUGAAGAAGUGUAUCCUGAAUGCAAUAAUUUCCCAAUGAAAACCACAUGUAUCAGACUGAAUGGAUGCAAGCUGAUCAAAAUACAAUGUUGUGUUUCCCAUAAUCAUGGCGGAUUAUUUGGUUAGUAUUGAAACUUAAACUUUAAUUUUCUUCCAUGACCAAAAGGAAAUUUCAGCCAAAUGUGGCAGAAACUCAGGAGGCUCUGCUUGCCACAGGUGUUUAAUCAUCAGGGAUGCUCUGGGGAAUAGCAUUGAUGACUGGCAGGCCACUG